This 375-nucleotide long non-coding RNA is filed under the name Ananas comosus (pineapple). RNAcentral's name for it is "long non-coding RNA (ACOM_LNC028866)". The record is from RNAcentral. Lineage: Eukaryota; Viridiplantae; Streptophyta; Magnoliopsida; Poales; Bromeliaceae.
AUGUUAGAAAAUUGCAUACGGUAAAAACGCAGCGGAAAAAGAAAUCAAACAAAUUUGAUUUUUGAAAACUCUCGAGAUCAAAUCUCAAAAACCACGCAAUUAGGAUCCCUCAUGUUCUUUAAGAUUAAAGGAGAAAAGUAAGAUCGAAUCAUUACCUUUUUCGCGGAUAAAUCCUUGCCUCAAUUUGAUGAUCGUGGAAUCGGGUUCUCUUGAAGCCGCACACGCGUCCGGCCUCUAUAGGUAUCCACACGAGGUUCUUGAUUUGAUCGAUGUCCUCACCGGGGUGCUAGCUCCCUUGCAAAAGGACGUCUUUCUUGCUAGAAGAUGGAAGAGAGAAGAGAGGAUAGAUGACGGCUAGGGUUUUCUAAAAACUCC